UACGGAGGAUCCAAGCGUUAUCCGGAUUCAUUGGGUUUAAAGGGUGCGUAGGCGGAAGAGUAAGUCAGUGGUGAAAGCCUGCAGCUUAACUGCAAAAUUGCCAUUGAUACUGCUCAUCUUGAGUACAUUUGAUGUGGGCGGAAUGUGUCAUGUAGCGGUGAAAUGCAUAGAUAUGACACAGAACACCGAUUGCGAAGGCAGCUCACAAAACUGUAACUGACGCUGAGGCACGAAAGCGUGGGGAUCGAACAGG
RNAcentral lists this ribosomal RNA (253 nucleotides) under uncultured bacterium. Its description in RNAcentral is "partial 16S ribosomal RNA". It matches the Rfam family "Bacterial small subunit ribosomal RNA", at positions 524 to 776 of the family's 1533-position model. The record is from RNAcentral.